This 217-nucleotide long non-coding RNA is filed under the name Gossypium raimondii (Peruvian cotton). RNAcentral describes it as "long non-coding RNA (GRAI_LNC002301)". Lineage: Eukaryota; Viridiplantae; Streptophyta; Magnoliopsida; Malvales; Malvaceae. The record is from RNAcentral.
AAUAGUAAUGUCAGCUCGUUUCCCAGUCGAUCUAGCUAUCUCAGGCUUUUUAUCCAAACCCAACACCUGCUCUACCAUCUUAGCUCUUUCAAUCAAAUCCACAAAUUCUGUAAUUCGCUGUGACACCAGCUGUACUUUGAUUUCAUCUCUCAAUCCUCGUAGAAAUCUCUUGCAGCUAUCAGCUUCUGUUGGAAUGAACUCGGUAGCAUAUCGGCUC